CUUCAUCCUUUAAGCGAAAUUUCAAUGGCGAAUCCAUCUGUUCUUUACUGUUUUGUGUUUCUCUACAGCCUUUAAAUCUGUUUCUGAAGCUUUGCUGAAGAUUUCUGUUUCUGUCGGACUAAUGAAUUUUGAUUAUUGUGAUAUUGCAACUCAUCAAUUAAAAAACUUCCAGAAGCUCAGAUAAAUAAGUAUAGAUUAAUUAGUUUGAUUAACGCAUUAACCUUGUAAAAGAAAUUCUUAACUUUGGUUGAAGCAUCAUGGAAAAACAGUAAUGUACCUGAGCAAGUGUUCCAAUUCAUAAAGAUGGUGGAUAGCUAUUUUGUGUUCCUACUUGUGCGUUGAUAGUUGAACACCCUGCAGUCGGAAGUGACAUACUAUGUUAAGGAUAUUUGGAUCAAUUUGGUGCAUGCAAAACGUAUAACUGCUUCAUGAGUAACUUCGACACAUAUAAGAUACUAUUUCUUAUGAUGCAAAUACGCAUGAUUGUGUAUCAUGUCAUCUGAGGCUCCAGUGUCUACAAUCCAUUUCAAGCAGGAAUAGGAUUACCUGCUAGAUUUGCACUACUUUGAGAAUCUAAAAGCUCCUUAUGUCCUUGCAAUAUAACACGCAUCUUUUGAAUUUGUUCAGGUCUUCAUGAAACAAGGGAUAAUAAUAUGCUAUAUUCUUUUCAAUAAUCAAAAUCUAACGAUAACAUUUUAAUAGCCAUCAUUAUUAGACGAAUUGUUCAUUGAGCAGAAGAAUGUUGUUAUGAUAUAUCAUAUAAUAGUUUAAACUGCAUGGUCUGCUUGAUAGUGUAUUUCAAUAGUUUAAAACGCAGGGGAGCUGACACAUUCUCAACUCUGUGCUUUUUGGUAGAUAAAGAAAGUAUGUUAAUUUAUGCAUCUAAAUUGUAGGAUAAUUCUGCUGAUAUAAAGGAAUCAUCAUUUGUCAUUUAAUAUGGUUUUUUCCAUUUUAAAAUUUUUGAGCAAGGCAUCCUGUAAGGGGCAGCAGUCUUCACUCAAAAGGAUACAAACACUCAGUUAUAAGUGAGAUAAACUCCCUAAAGGUUUCCCUUGAUGACCAGUUCAAGAUAAAGGAUUUAGGAAAACUACAUUACUUCUUGGGGCUAGAAAUACUCUACUAUUUUUUUUGACUGCUUCAAAUCUGCUUCUGGAAAUGUUGCCAGACAUUACUAUUACAAAAGCGCACAAGAGACCUCGAGUCAAGAAGACGUCUUCUACAAGUUCCUCUCAUGAUAAGAGAGCCUUAUGUUACGUCAACAAAAGGAUCCUGAUGAACCUAUAGUGAAGGUAAAAACACGUGUAAUGAGACCUGUAGUUGCCCAUCCCUUUAGGAAAGGUGUUAAACAAGGUCCUAAGCACAUGGCAAAUCUGAAGUGUCUACUUCCACGGAAGAUUUCCCAAAAUCGCCUCAGGACAAUUUAAGAAAAUUCUUAGGUGCAUAAGAGAAGGCCGUGACAGCUCUGCCGCCCUUGAAUGUGGUCAUCAUACAAUUGGCUGCAAAAGCUACUUUAUUCAAUUCAAAUGUCAAGAAAGACGUCUCAAUAGCACAGGAUGAGAUUUUUCGCCUGCUGCAGUGUGUCAUCAAAUUCAAACAGUCUGUUCAAAAUAAACAUUUCAACUGGAAUCUUGAGGAGUAAAACAUUGUUGCUCCAAUCGGAAAGUUAGAUUUCACCUCUACCAUCAACAAUAUAAUCCACAACAAGUUUACGUCAGUCCCAGACCAUAGUAGAGAACAAAAUGGCAUUGUGAAGCCUCUGUUGCUGACUUGAUGCCUGAGUUCUUAAAAAAAACAACACAGAAGCCUCAUCUUAUUCACACAAAUGUGAAUAAUAAUGGCAAUGGUGCACAUGAGAUCAGACAACAACUUGCAAUUGGAGCUCUUAUCAAACUGUGCAAGUCCUUUUGCCAAGUUUUUGGUGCAUAAAAACCCACAACUCCAUGUGAAUGUCCUAUUUUUUUCAAUCAUUUUCAAGAUAAUGAUGAGCUAAGAAUUAUUUCAAGUUGUACUCAUAUACUCCACAUUAAUUCGUUUCUAUAUCUUCUGUGAGAUUGCUUGAAAUCUUCGUAAGCUUCAACACAAAAACACAAGAGCUAUAUACA
This is a long non-coding RNA of Solanum tuberosum (potato), 2102 nucleotides long. RefSeq lists it as uncharacterized. The record is from RefSeq and is a predicted model, not a curated record. The transcript is spliced from 9 exons. NCBI's taxonomy places the organism in Eukaryota, Viridiplantae, Streptophyta, Magnoliopsida, Solanales, Solanaceae.